UCGAGAAUCUUCGGCAAUGGGCGCAAGCCUGACCGAGCGACGCCGCGUGCGGGAUGAAGGCCUUCGGGUUGUAAACCGCUGUCAGUGGGGAGGAAAUCACGGGGGGUUCUCCCCUCGUGUUGACCUAUCCGCAGAGGAAGGACGGGCUAAGUUCGUGCCAGCAGCCGCGGUAAGACGAACCGUCCAAACGUUAUUCGGAAUUACUGGGCUUAAAGGGUGUGUAGGCGGCCGCGAAAGUUGGGUGUGAAAGCCCUCGGCUCAACCGAGGAAUGGCGCCCAAAACUACGCAGGCUCGAGGGAGACAGAGGUGAGCGGAACUUCGGGUGGAGCGGUGAAAUGCGUUGAUAUCCGAAGGAACACCGGUGGCGAAAGCGGCUCACUGGGUCUCUACUGACGCUGAGACACGAAAGCUAGGGGAGCGAACAG
Molecule: ribosomal RNA, 426 nt
Filed under: uncultured bacterium
Lineage: Bacteria
Description: bacterial SSU rRNA
Rfam family: Bacterial small subunit ribosomal RNA
Source: RNAcentral